GGCUAUGAUGGCAACCAGGAUGCUCCAUUGAUUGUGAGGGUUAAUUUGGCUGAUUGGACAAGCUAGGCAGGCAUCUCCUUCCUCCCUCACCGUGCCACGUGCAGCCCUCCUGAAGCUGUGUGCUCCAUGGAAGAGGACGACCACACCCAAGGAGGACUAGUCUUCUGUCAAGGAAAUAGGAGUAGCUGUUUCCUCCUGCUAGAAUCUCCAAACAAGGGCUCAAACUUCAUAGUAAAGCUCCCAAGACUCCAGACACAUCCAAACGAGGUGUGGCAUGUGGCAGUCUACCUUU
Aotus nancymaae (Ma's night monkey) is the source of this 292-nucleotide unclassified non-coding RNA. Its record names the gene 7SK. It matches the Rfam family "7SK RNA". From Rfam's summary of the family: 7SK was discovered as an abundant small nuclear RNA in the mid-70s but a possible function has only recently been suggested. Two independent studies have found that 7SK RNA binds the CDK9/cyclin T complex (known as elongation factor P-TEFb). The record is from Ensembl. NCBI's taxonomy places the organism in Eukaryota, Metazoa, Chordata, Mammalia, Primates, Aotidae.